Molecule: ribosomal RNA, 253 nt
Filed under: uncultured bacterium
Lineage: Bacteria
Description: partial 16S ribosomal RNA
Rfam family: Bacterial small subunit ribosomal RNA
Source: RNAcentral
UACGGGGGGAGCAAGCGUUGUUCGGAAUACUGGCGGUAAGCGUGCGCAGGCGGUUAUGCAAGACAGAUGUGAAAUCCCCGGGCUCAACCCUGGGAACUGCAUUUGUGACUGCAUAGCUGGAGUGCGGCAGAGGGGGAUGGAAUUCCGCGUGUAGGCAGUGAAAUUCGUAGAUAUCGGGAGGAACACCAGUAGCGAAGGCGGCAUCCUGGACCGACAUUGACGCUGAUGAGCGAAAGCUAGGGGAGCAAACGGG